GGUAAGAUGGCAUUCUGAGGAGGAGCCUUGUGAUUAGGGAAUGGGAAUAAGCCAGAACAACAGCAACAACAAAAGUAGCUUGUGAGUACCUGGUACCAGAGUGCUGACUUUUUCUUACUUGUGCCUGACAAGUCAUAAUGCCUAAGAACUACCACCAGGGGUGUCACAAUGGAGAGUAACGUACACUAGAAGCACCUAAUGAGGAAUUAAGAGUGGGAUGUGUGCUGGAAAGGGUUCACACAUAUAAUCCCAGCACUUUGGGAGGCUGAGGUAGGAAGAUCGCUGGAACCCAGGAGUUCAAGACCAUCCUGGGUAAGAUAACAGCACCUCAGAGAAGAUUUGGAAAAUAAAUGAGCUGAUGAGAGCAAUUUUCUGCUUCCUGGGCCACCACAGUCUUCUUUGCUGUUUUUGAUUGCAACCAUUUUCAGAGAAGAAUCAACACCAAAGAUUACAUGUAUAUAAAUUACCUAGUAACGAGCAUGACCUCUGUCCAAGCAGAAGGCAAGCAGGGGAGAAGAUUUAGCUGCUCAACUACAGUUAUUCUCUCAACCCAAGCUAAGGUGGUACAAGGAAGAAUGGCAGAUUGGCAGAUUGGGUGGCCAGGAGGCUUCACAGAGACCCCGUUGAGAAUCCAGUAAAACCUAUGGUUCCUCUUUUAAGAAAAAUACAUGGGCACGCACAAAAAAACCUUAGUGUUUGUUUCCCUGGUCUUUGUUUCCACACAUGCCCUGAAGCCCAGCUGUGAUGCAGGUUAAGAAUCUCUACCCUGGAUUCCAAAGUGGUUAGUAGCAUUUCUUG
This 798-nucleotide long non-coding RNA is filed under the name Homo sapiens (human). RNAcentral describes it as "HSALNT0347790". The record is from RNAcentral. Lineage: Eukaryota; Metazoa; Chordata; Mammalia; Primates; Hominidae.